UUUGUUACAGAUUCUGCCUAAAUAUGUAAGACUCCUUUACCAUGAAAGAUGCUUCCAUUGCAGAUAGCACAUUAGGAUUAGUCACAUAUACACCCUAAAUAUGUAAGACUCCUAUACCAUGAAAGAUGCUUCCAUUGCAGAUGCACAUUAGGAUAAAUCACAUAUUAUACAGCCUUAAUAUGUAACACUCCUAUACCAUGAAAGAUGCUUUCACACAUUAGGAUGUUGCACAUAUACAUCUAAAUAUGUUGCACUCCUAGACAGAGAAGAUGGAUUCAUGGCAGAUAGGAAGAGUCAACAUAUACAGCCCAGAUAUGUUCCACUCCUACCCAAUGAAUAUGGUUUCAUGGUAGAUAGGAAGAGUCAACAUAUACAGCCCAGAUAUGUUCCACUCCUACCCAAUGAAUAUGGUUUCAUGGUAGAUAGGAAGAGUCAACAUAUACAGCCCAGAUAUGUUCCACUCCUACCCAAUGAAUAUGGUUUCAUGGUAGAUGCACAUUAGGAUGUUUAACAUAUACAGCCGAAAUAUGUUACACUCCUAGACAAUGAAGAUGGUUUCAUGGUAGAUUGAUCACACAUCUGGAUACGUAGCAUAUAACGCCUAAAUAUGUUACACUCUUCGACAAUGAAAAUGGUUUCAUUGUAGAUAGCACAUUAGGAUUAGUCACAUAUGCAACUUAUAUGAUGUUUCAGUAGUAGAAGGUGCAGCAUGGCAGCAGAAGAUGUUAAAUUGAGAAUCGUGAAGAGACAGUUUAAUUCUUUAGAGAAUAAAUAAGAUUAUAGUUUAUAGAUGAAGAUUAUAAAAAUCUUUAAUGUUCAAAAUAUCAGAUGAGAAUUUGCCAAGUGCCCUCAAUAUGGCUACAAUGAUAUAACAAUCAUAAUUAAAAAUGUAUUGUAAACCUCUUUUUCAAUAUUCAUAUUAAAGAAAGUAGAUUGUCAAUUUAGAUAUUUACUUAUUUACCUGAAUUUUUUAUUAAGUAAUUUGGACAAUAUGACUUUAUUUAGAUUUUUUGAAAUUCAAGUUCAAAAUGUAUAUACAUCAGAUAGUUUUGGUUUGCCAGCAACUUCCAUUGUAUAGCCAAAAGAUCAAUUGUUGGUUGUAAUUAAGGCCAGCUCUAAAUAAGAUCUUAAAAUAGAAACUAUCUUCAAAUUUGACAAGUUACCAUAUCUACAUAUGAAUAAAUUAGAAUAGUCUGUAAAUAUUCUGUAUUUUCCUUUUUGCAUCAUCUUUUGAGUAACCAAAUCAGAACACCCAGUUUGGUGAAAUACUUUUUCCUGUUGUAUCUAUCAUUGCUUUUGUAAGAUAAAAACAAAAAUGUAUAUGCAGUUUUGUUAAAUAUAUAUAAAUUAAAAAUUAAAAAAAAAAUCAAAUUCAAAUUAACACAAACAAAAUUGACUUUAACUUAUGGUUUAGUUCAUGCACCCUUUAAUGUAUAUCUUAAAAGUUUUGUUGUGGACUAAGCAAAUAUCAAAUUAUCAUUUCAGAAGUACAUUUUGCUUGCAUGGUAUCAUCUUCACUAACAUUUAACAUAGUGGGUUUCGGAGUUACUGAGGUAGUUCUUAUUGAGGUGUUUCUUGUUUUUUUCUAUGGAGGAAUCAGUGGUUUCUAUGUCUUCAGGAUAUGGUUUUGUCAUUCAAAGGGAACUGUCAAUGUAAUUCUGAAAUGAUAUACAUUUGGUAUUUUAUUGUCAUUGAAAAAGAAACAGUAUCAGUGCAUGAACAUUUGAACUGUGAAUAUAUAAUAUUUAAACUUUAUAAUUUAUAAUUUUUAAAUCGAUUUUGGAAAGUUAUUGUAUCAAAAUUAAAUUGUAUUUGACACAGUUUGAUGGAUGGAAAUUGAAAAUUAGAAAAACUUGGAAAACAAAAUUCCAAAUAUAAAUUUCUGCUUCAUUAAAACAUUUGGUUAAAUGGAUCUGCAAAAUCACUGAUAGCUAACAUGGUUAAUCCACUUAAUUAGAUAGUGUCGUUAAGUAUAGUCUAAUGGAUCCUGUUGAUAUCCUUUUAAAAGUAUUAAUGUAUUAUAAAUUAUAUUCCUAAAUCUAACAUGUCAGACGCGAGAGACCCCCCCUUUGUUAUAGAGGGAUCGCCCUUGCAUCAGUGUCUUACAAAUUGUACUGUAAUAUACUGAACUAUAGAUUAGCUCAGUGGGUAGAUGAUAACAAUGUACUGGUUGAGGAACAGAAUGGUUUAUGACAACUUUGUAGUACAAUAGACCAAUUAUCUACUCUUACUAAUUUGAUAAAUGUGAGAAAAACACUUCCUAAAUUAAUCUUUUGCGCCUUUAUAUUGAUUUUAAAAAGGCUUACGACACUACACAGAGAUAUUUUAUGGUAUAAACUAGAUAAAAUUGGUGUUGCACAGACUUUUUGUUCUGCUAUUAAGUCAAUUUAUACAAAUGUUCUGUAAGAAUAAACGAUCAUUUCACAGACUGGUUUGAUGUAAACACUGGCUUGAAACAAGGAUGUCCCUUGUCGCUCAUUUUGUUCAACUUGUAUAUUAAUGAUUGAGUAACAUUUCUUAAGUCCUUUGACUGCGGAAUAGAUAUUGGUGAUGAAAAACUGUAUUUUAUUAUAUGCUGAUGAUGUUAUUAUAGCAAACGAUGAAAAAGAGCUACAACUUUUGGUAAAUGCUUUUUCUACAUGAUUUGAAGACAAUUGUAUGACAAUUAAUACAAACAAGAGUAACAUUGUACAAUUUAGACCACCAUCUAUACCUAGAUAUGAUGUAAUUUUUAAUUGUAAUGGUCAUACUAUAAAGUCUUCUAGUAAUGAUACUUGGUCUCAUUUUAAACAAGCAUUUAGACUAUAAUAUCACUGCAAAAGCCGUUGCAUCUUCAGCAAAUAGAACUUUAAGGAUGGUAAUAGCCAAGUGUAAACUUUAAGGGGGUGUCUGUUUCGAUGUAUUUGUAAAAUUAUAUGAAAGUUUGGUUUGUCCUAUAAUAGAAUAUGAAAAGGUAUAUGGGGUGUAAAAAGAUAUUCUUGUAUAAAUUCCAUACAUAAUGGGGCCUGUAGAUUUUCUAGAAGUAGAAAAAUAUGCACCAAAUGCUGCAGUUACUGGAGACUUGGGUAUUAUUGUAUUAUACGUUGAUAAUUUUAUUUUAAAUUGCAUUUUGAUUUGUCAAUACACACGUUUUAAGGUGUAGGUCAGCACCUGACCCUGGAGACGGGAUUGCGCACUUGGCAUCCACUGACACAGGUUUCUAGAGCUUUUUGAUCGAUUAUAUCGUUUUUUAUCUCUAGUUGUUCCUGGCCGGCCUUGACUGUCUAUGAAGGGGUGCAUUUAGUCAAAAGUUGGUUUUGGUGUAUUUGGAAAAUCAUGGAAGUAUUAUAUUUUACUUCCAUGGGAUAAUAUAUACAUAGGAAUUGUAUGAUUUUGAAUUAUAUAUACAUAAUUUGUGAAUAUUUAUAAUACAAUCUGGCGUCCAUCGAGCAUGACGGGCUGUCGGAAAACUAAGAUUAUGUUUGCAUUGUUUAUAUUUGGCACAAGUAUGUAGUUAAUACCACCUAUUUUUGAUAAGCAGUGGAAAAUUAUCUGAACUGAAUUCAAGUCAUUUAUCGUGUCCUGAAAAUAUGGACACAAAUUAUGUUGUUAAACUUUUAAUGUCAAAAUGCAUUUCAUUCACAGAAGUGCUUUUCUCAAAUUUAGAUGUGGUGUUGCUCCACUAAGGAUUUAAACUGGGAAAUAUGAAAAUUAUUGUUUUAGCGUGGGCCAUAUAUGUUAUAGUUUCAUUGAAGACGAAGCUUAUGUUUUAUUAAGAUGUCCUCUUUAUGAAGAUUUUAGAUGAUAACCAAAAGUUAGUGUUUUUAUUCUCAGAUGUGUUAUUCUCAGAUGUAAAUAUGAUACAUGUGUGUUCCAAAACCUGUUAUUUGAAUUUAAAAAGGUGUUGAAAUUUUAUAUAUGGUAAAUACAUGUAGUACUUUAUUUCAUAUUGUUUAAUGUAUUAUAUCUAUGCAUUUUAAUAGUCUUAUAAUUCUGUAUAGAAUGGCUCAUUUUAUUUAGUAUUGUUUUACAAUGUAUAAAUAUCGAUUGUAAUUGUCGAGAGAGGAGACAGUCAUAAAACAUUGAAUUAAUUGAAUUGAGUUUGUUAGUAUUACAAUCAAUAUUUGUGUAUGCCUCGCACAAAAAUGUGCAAGCAGGGCCGUACUGGACAUUUUCAGUUAUCAAGGGUUUUUUUUUUUAUAACAAACACAGAGAUCUGGUAUCCAGGAAAUUAAAAUGAAUCAACAAUACUUUCAUGUAUUUUGUACAAUAAUAUUUUUUCUAAUUACACCUUGCUCAUGAUGCAGAUCUGUCUUCAUCUAAUACUAUGAUGAUGUACUACAGUGGCAUAAAAGUAGUUACGAUAGGUUUAGGAAGUGUCAUUUUGGUAUUUAUCAUGAUGCAUUAGAAUUAAAUUUCCCCAUGUUUCAAGGAAUAACAUUGAAAAAUAAUUUAUAGCCAACACUUCUGGCCAGCAGUCUGUUUUGAAUAAUAAGGAUUUCUUUAAAACUGUUCAAGUAUACCUCCUUUGACAAUCUUCCUAGCAUUGGGUAUUGGAAUUUUUCAAUUUUUUACCAACUACAUUUUCAGUUUUUAGUUGGUUGUUCCAUGUCGGCGGGGUCGUCGAUGAUAGAAUUUUUGCCAUUAUUUGAUAUUUCACAUAAAAUACAAAGAGCAUUUCAUCAAUUAUAAUUGCUACGAUUUUCUUUAUGUAUUUAUGCUUAUCCAUGUAUGCAUGUUUAUUGUUUUAAUGAAGAUAAAAUCCGAUGUCCAGUUUAUCGGCAAUAUGAA
Long non-coding RNA from Mytilus californianus (California mussel), 4770 nucleotides. RefSeq lists it as uncharacterized. Lineage: Eukaryota; Metazoa; Mollusca; Bivalvia; Mytilida; Mytilidae. The record is from RefSeq and is a predicted model, not a curated record. The transcript has 10 exons.